ACCCAGUUGACGAGUUCCAAAUAAGACGAAAUGCGCAUCCUCGAU
RNAcentral lists this non-coding RNA (45 nucleotides) under Trichobilharzia regenti. The record is from RNAcentral. Lineage: Eukaryota; Metazoa; Platyhelminthes; Trematoda; Strigeidida; Schistosomatidae.